GGCACCACUGCGGGAUUUGGGCCACCCUGUGAGCCAGCACCGAGGCCCCGGCCUCAUCCCUCUUCUUUCCUGCCUGCUGUGAGGCAGCACCAGGGAACUCCUUGUAGCCCGCCAUGGGCCAGUAUCCAGCUGUCCCCUGCAGCAGGGACCUGCCCCUUUGGCCCUGUAGCCACCAACCCUGCAGCCAGCCCGACAGCCUCCCAGAAAUAGAAAAGGGAGCCGGGAGCGGGCAGAGGGCGAGCAGGAGGAGGUGGCCCCGCGGCAAGGAAGGAGGUUACCCCGCAGGCCGGGCUGCCCCGCCGUGGGACCGGAGUCGCCGCCGACAGUGAGCUGCGGCGGGAUCGGGGCAGGAUCGGCGGGGCUGGGCAGCGUCGAGGACAGCGGGUCCGCAUCCACCCAGGCCAUGCUGGACCCAGCGGCUCUCCAGCAUCCCCGCGGAGAGGGGAACGCUGUGGCCCACACCGCGACGGGCGGGGCAGCACCGGGCGGCUGCACCGAGUCCCGGCAGCGCGGAGCUCCGCUCCUGAGGGACGGGGUCCGCGGGGCGGGCUGUCCUCCCUCUCUCUGCCCCCAGCCGUCCCUCCAUCGGCCUCUCCCUCGGGUCCCCGGGCCAGCGCUGCCCCCGGGGCCGCGACCACCCAGUUCAGGCCGAGGCUGCUCGGAGGCUGCGGCGCUGCUCGGCGGUGCCGGCCGUGUCCCCCCCCCGCCCGCGGCGGUGGCGGUGGGGGCACGGCUGGCAUUGCUCGCUGACACUCUAUCUGCCAGGGCCACGCCAGCCGCGGGCCCAGAAUAGCAGCGCUGCCCCGCAGAUAGCAUGGAGCAGCUCCGCGGCUCUGCCGCGAACCAGGUGGCGCUGCUGGAUGCUGUUGCAUGCCCUGAGGAGGAAGGAUUUCCAAAGGCCGUAUGUCCCAGGGAGGAGGAAGAGGAGGAGGAAGAAUACAGGAGACCUGUCACCUUCACACUGGGAAAUGAGAUACUGGGGCUAGGCUCAGAGACCGAGUUUCAGACUCCUGAUGCUGAGGUCUACAUGCACUUCUUGAGGAGCCACUGCUGUUACGAUGCCAUACCCACCAGCUGCAAGCUUGUCGUCUUUGACAUCUCCCUGGAGCAGAUCAAGAAAGCCUUUUUGGCACUGGUGGCCAACGGGGUUCGUGCUGCCCCUCUCUGGAACAGCAAGACGCAGAGCUUUGUGGGGAUGCUCACCAUCACCGACUUCAUCAACAUCCUCCACCGCUACUACCGCUCACCUUUGGUUCAGAUCUACGAGGUGGAGGAGCACAAGAUUGAGACCUGGAGAGAGGUGUACCUGCAGGGCUCCCUCCAGCCACUGGUCUACAUCUCUCCGAGCAAUAGCCUCUUCGAUGCUGUCUACUCCCUGAUCAAGCACAAAAUCCACCGCCUACCUGUCAUUGAGCCUGUCUCGGGCAAUGUCCUGCACAUCCUGACACACAAGCGCAUCCUCAAGUUUCUCCACAUCUUUGCUUCUAGCAUCCCCAAGCCACGCUUCCUGAAGAAAACAGUGCAGGAACUGUGCAUUGGCACCUUCCGUGAUCUGGCCGUCGUGGCUGAGACUGCCCCAAUCUACACUGCCUUGGAGAUUUUUGUGGAUCGCCGUGUCUCCGCCUUGCCUGUCAUCAAUGAUGCUGGGCAAGUGGUUGGCCUGUACUCACGGUUUGAUGUCAUUCACCUGGCAGCCCAGAAGACCUACAACAACCUGGACAUCAGUGUGAGGGAGGCACUGCGGCAACGCACGGUCUGCCUGGAGGGGGUCCUCACCUGCUACCCCCAUGAACCUAUGGAGGACAUAAUCGACCGUAUUGCCAAGGAGCAGGUCCAUCGCCUGGUUCUGGUGGAUGAGAACCAAUACCCGCGGGGCAUCGUCUCCCUCUCUGACAUCCUGCAGGCCCUUGUGCUCACUCCUGCAGGUAUUGAUGCUCUUAACUCUUAGCCCACGGUGCUCCAUCUUUCUCCACUUGCACCCUCAGUUUCUCUCCACUUCAGGCAUCGAUCGAUCCUCACUCUGAAGACACCAGGGAAAUGCCACUGGCUUGUCUGACUCGGGGAUCUCUUGCGUGACCUGUGAGAAGGAGGCUCGGGCCCGAAGGCUCUCUGUGGGGAGGACGUGCCUGUUCACCCCACUCCUCGGGCUCGUCUUGAGUCCAGGGCUAGAUCCUGCCAGUCUUGGAGAGGCAGAAACACUGAAAAUGGGACCCAGGGGUGCCUCCUUCCAGUGAGCACACAGUGAUGCUCAGUGGGCACUAUGCUGGAGGGGCUGCAACGCGCCUGCAGCUGGGCAGAGACCCAUACAGCCCCGGAGGACCUGGCCACCCCUCUGCCGUCCUGCUGAUGGAUCUGAGCGUUUCUAUUGUGGCUCCCUCCUAGUGAACACAGUCCCGCUGUCUGUGCUCGGUGCCUGGUAGCAUAGGCUCAGCUGCACGCACAGCUUUUUUAUUGUAGGGUCAUACAGGGCUGGAGCUCUCUGGCAGCGGCACAGUCUGUGCCAGAGCUGGCAGCAGGAUGGGCACUUGCAUGGAAACCCUGUGCACAUUUUGGGGUGGGCAGGGGAUAUUUAUUUAUUUGUUAGUCUGUUCAGCCUUGAUGUAACAAAACAUCCUGAUCCAA
This is an RNA transcript of Taeniopygia guttata (zebra finch), 2622 nucleotides long. It is a transcript of the gene named protein kinase AMP-activated non-catalytic subunit gamma 3, with no coding region annotated. Lineage: Eukaryota; Metazoa; Chordata; Aves; Passeriformes; Estrildidae. The record is from RefSeq and is a predicted model, not a curated record.